This 430-nucleotide ribosomal RNA is filed under the name Pseudomonadota bacterium. RNAcentral's name for it is "Proteobacteria bacterium partial 16S ribosomal RNA". It matches the Rfam family "Bacterial small subunit ribosomal RNA", at positions 355 to 776 of the family's 1533-position model. The record is from RNAcentral. Lineage: Bacteria; Pseudomonadati; Pseudomonadota.
UGGGGAAUAUUGGACAAUGGGCGAAAGCCUGAUCCAGCCAUGCCGCGUGUGUGAAGAAGGCCUUAUGGUUGUAAAGCACUUUAAGCGAGGAGGAGGGUACUGGUAUUAAUACUACCAGGUACUGGACGUUACUCGCAGAAUAAGCACCGGCUAACUCUGUGCCAGCAGCCGCGGUAAUACAGAGGGUGCGAGCGUUAAUCGGAUUUACUGGGCGUAAAGCGUGCGUAGGCGGCUAAUUGAGUCGGAUGUGAAAUCCCCGAGCUUAACUUGGGAAUUGCAUUCGAUACUGGUUAGCUAGAGUGUGGGAGAGGAUGGUAGAAUUCCAGGUGUAGCGGUGAAAUGCGUAGGGAUCUGGAGGAAUACCGAUGGCGAAGGCAGCCAUCUGGCCUAACACUGACGCUGAGGUACGAAAGCAUGGGGAGCAAACAGG